Molecule: transfer RNA, 64 nt
Filed under: Bembidion varium
Lineage: Eukaryota; Metazoa; Arthropoda; Insecta; Coleoptera; Carabidae
Description: tRNA-Ala
Source: RNAcentral
AGGAUUAUAGUUAAUUAUAAUAUUUGAUUUGCAUUCAAAAGGUGUUGAAUUUUCAACUUAUCUU